AUGAGAUGAUGAUGAUACUAGAGAAUAGUUUCACUAACUUGACUGAUUCCAUGUGAUGUCACACUUCUCUUGACUGUCUGAUUAA
Molecule: small nucleolar RNA, 85 nt
Organism: Xyrauchen texanus (razorback sucker)
Lineage: Eukaryota; Metazoa; Chordata; Actinopteri; Cypriniformes; Catostomidae
Product: small nucleolar RNA SNORD53/SNORD92
Exons: 1
Source: RefSeq, a predicted model, not a curated record